AAUGAACGUUGGCGGCGUGGAUUAGGCAUGCAAGUCGAGCGAGAAGGGUUUGGUGCUUGCAUUGAACCUGGAAAGCGGCGAAAGGGAGAGUAACGCGUAGAUAUGUACCCUGGGGUCUGGGAUAGCGUCGGGAAACUGGCGGUAAUACCGGAUAACGUCUCCGGACCAAAGAUUUAUUGCCCUGGGAGCAGUCUGCGUCCUACUAGCUUGUUGGUGGGGUAAAAGCCUACCAAGGCCAUGAUGGGUAGCGGGCGUGAGAGCGUGACCCGUCUCACUGGGACUGAGACACUGCCCAGACACCUACGGGUGCUGCAGUCGAGAAUCUUCCGCAAUGGACGAAAGUCUGACGGAGCGACGCCGCGUGCGGGAUGAAGCCUCGGGUAAACCGCUGUCAGAGGGGAGGAAUUUUGACCGAUCCUCAGAGGAAGUCCGGGCUAAGUUCGUGCCAGCAGCCGCGGUAAU
This 462-nucleotide ribosomal RNA is filed under the name uncultured bacterium. Its description in RNAcentral is "bacterial SSU rRNA". It matches the Rfam family "Bacterial small subunit ribosomal RNA", at positions 29 to 524 of the family's 1533-position model. The record is from RNAcentral.